GCGCCUCCCAAUUGCGUAAUCUCCCUUUUUCCUUUUUUUUUUUCAUCUCAUAUUUAUUUAAGUCUGGGCCUACGAAGUCUUAUGCUUUCCCUUUUUUGGAGAAAAUUUGGUUUGUUCCUUUUUCUUGACCAGACCAUUGACCACCGCUGGUGACUUGAGGUUUUGUUGAAGCCGCAAUCAAUUUUUCUGAAAUUUCCUCAUCAAGAUGUUUCGCAGGCAGCGCUCUUCUCGUACAUCUUCUCGUCUAAGAUUCCUUCUGGGAGCAGGUGGCUACAUCUUCCCUUACCCAAAUCGUCACAAUUUGCGUCUGAUUCGAGCUCUGAUGGGCCUAGUCCGCCACCUGGAAAUUGUGAUUUACUUCAACAAUUUACCUGAUAUACUUCUUAUAUUUUUCUUAACAAUUUGAUAAAUCUGAUCUUGUUUAUCUGUUUUUCAAAGCAGAAGUCUGGCUUUUUUGCACUUUGUCCCAAUUAAAGCAGAACCGAAAGUUUAUUUUUAUAUUUUGGAUCACUGCCUGCACUUUCUGAAUUUUCCAUUCCAAUAAAGUUGCACAACUUCUUGCA
Molecule: long non-coding RNA, 563 nt
Organism: Clarias gariepinus (North African catfish)
Lineage: Eukaryota; Metazoa; Chordata; Actinopteri; Siluriformes; Clariidae
Exons: 2
Source: RefSeq, a predicted model, not a curated record